CGGGCGCGCGCUCUGCUUAAAUUGACAGAAACUGAAAGUAUAACGAUGGCCAGUUCAGUUUUGCUUCAUGUCGCCAAAUAUUAACUUGGUGUCUCCGAGCAGGUUGUGUGAGGUAUAGGUUAAAGAUGACAUAGGUUAGGGAUUGGUCUGGAAGGAAUGGGUUUAUGUAUAUUCAUAAAACUUCCUACGGGCUUAAAAAAAUAACCUAAACGAAACCAACCUCCACCCCUCCUUCAAAUGUGCAUUUUAAUGCUGUUUGCAGCAUGGGAAAUAAGGAUUUAGUUAAUUCUGGGGAAACUUGAGCAGCCGGUUCUGAAGAUGGCAGACUACAUAGAUUUCCUUUCACGAGAAAUGCAGCGGGCAGGGGUGCUUUAUCCACACGUGCUGCGUGCGUGUGUGAAGAAAUACCACACACAACCCGAACAUCCUGCCAUGAAACCGGCCUCUCCGUGCUGUGAAUUUUUCCACAGUAACACAGGAGGGGAUGGUUCAUCUGGAGCCGAUCAAUAUUCCGUCCUGGCAUUUUUGGGGAGAAGAUCACGCUGCGCGUUAGAGAAGCGUGCGCUUGCGUGCAUGGGCAUGCAUACAGACACACACACACACGUGUGCUGCUUGCAGCUCCGGCCUUUGGAGCAGCAGAUGAACUCUGGAGUGUUAGGCACAGAUCCUCCUCUUGGUGCACGGCAGCAUUUGGCCUCCUGACAUUGUGCUCCAUUAACUGGAGACUUUCUUUCCCUCCUUGGCUCAGCUUUGAGCUGGCAGCAGGCGCUAUGUACCGUUGUGGUUUGAGAGCUCAGCUCUGUUUGACGUAAGCAGAACAUUUCUUAGUUUCACCACUCUGUCUGCUUCUGGCUUCCUAAGAAGCAAGGUGGGAUACCUGGUGGGGGAAAUCCACUUCAAGUAGUUUUAUUUAGCAUUUAUUUAUUUAUUCUUGCUGCUUCCUGUUGUUUGCUACGAGGUACAUUUUCCAGAGAGAGCUGGAGAGCAAGGGGAGGGGAAGCUCAGAGUCCUGGCUAAUUAUUUUUGGUGUGGGUGCCAGGAAUGGCUGUGAAUUAUCUUUCCCAACAUCAGAGGCUGAGUGGGGUUGUAGGCUGCUGCCUGAUGAGCACCUCUGUGUGAUGUAACCCUGCAUUGAGUAACUUGGCUAUUUUUAUGCUCUUACUACAUCUUAAAUUAGCAGCGUUUGUAUUGCUGCAUAAAAGGCUGUGGGUCUGAUCUCUUGUAUUAAUGGGUGCCUGGAUUAAUAACGUGUCUAUUGCAGGACUGCUGCUUAUUUCAUGUAUAAUAGGAAAAGUGGGGUCUCUUCAGACUGCUGAGUUCGCAUAAUAGCUCUGCUGGCAAACUGGUGCUUGUUGGGAUGCUAAAAGAGCCUGGGAGGCUGAUGUGAAACAUGUAUUUCCCUACGAGUCUAAUUAGGGCUGUGGGAGGAGAGAGCAUUGGUGUUGCAGAUCCAGCCUCCCACUGGCUUACAUACAAAACUGAAAGUAUGACUCUUUCCCCCGCCUUCUGCCUGUCUCAAAGGAAAGGCCACGGUUUCCUAAUGAAUACAUGGUGAGCAGUUCUGUCCGUAGCACACUGUGAUGAGUAAGUUGAAUAGUGCAUGGACAAACACCAUGAUGCUGCUCACGAAAUUAUUGAGACAAUUCGGUGGGUCUGUGAAGAAAUCCCAGAUCUCAAGCUUGCUAUGGAAAACUAUGUUUUAAUUGACUAUGAUACAAAAAGCUUUGAGAGCAUGCAGAGGCUUUGUGACAAGUACAACCGAGCCAUCGAUAGUAUUCACCAGUUGUGGAAGGGAACCACCCAACCGAUGAAACUGAACACUCGUCCCUCCAACGGGCUCCUCCGGCACAUCCUGCAGCAGGUUUAUAACCACUCGGUGACUGAUCCUGAGAAACUGAACAAUUAUGAGCCUUUUUCCCCAGAGGUUUACGGAGAAACUUCCUUUGACUUAGUGGCCCAAAUGAUAGAUGAAAUAAAAAUGACAGAGGAUGAUUUGUUUGUUGACUUGGGCAGUGGUGUGGGUCAGGUGGUGCUUCAAGUGGCUGCAGCCACCAACUGCAAACAUCACUACGGUGUGGAGAAAGCUGAUAUUCCAGCCAAAUAUGCUGAGACGAUGGACAGAGAGUUCAGAAAGUGGAUGAAAUGGUAUGGGAAAAAACAUGCAGAAUACACACUGGAAAGAGGUGACUUCCUCUCAGAAGAAUGGAGAGAGAGAAUUGCAAACACAAGUGUUAUUUUUGUGAAUAAUUUUGCCUUUGGUCCUGAGGUGGAUCACCAACUGAAGGAGCGGUUUGCGAACAUGAAGGAAGGUGGAAGAAUUGUGUCCUCAAAACCUUUUGCACCUCUGAAUUUUAGAAUUAACAGUCGAAACUUGAGUGAUAUUGGCACUAUAAUGAGAGUUGUGGAGCUAUCACCACUGAAAGGGUCUGUGUCAUGGACCGGGAAACCAGUUUCUUACUACCUGCAUACUAUUGACCGAACCAUACUUGAAAACUAUUUUUCUAGUCUCAAAAAUCCAAAACUCAGGGAGGAACAAGAGGCAGCUAGACGUCGUCAACAAAGAGAAAACAAGAGCAACACAACUACUCCAACGAAGGUUCAAGAAAAUAAGGAUUCUGGUGCUGAAGAAGAAAAGGCUGCAGCAAAUUCUGUUAAAAAGCCAUCUCCCUCCAAAGCCCGGAAGAAAAAGCUGAGUAAAAAAGGAAGGAAAAUGGCAGGCAGGAAACGGGGACGUCCCAAGAAAAUGAACACUGCAAACACAGAGCGCAAGACCAAGAAGAACCAAACUGCACUAGAACUUCUGCACGCUCAAACUGUUUCACAGACAUCUUCAUCCUCUCCUCAGGAUGCAUACAAGUCACCUCAUAGUCCAUAUUACCAACUACCUCCUAAAGUGCAACGGCAUUCGUCUAACCAGCUACUGGUGACACCUACCCCACCUGCACUACAGAAGCUGCUAGACUCUUUUAAGAUCCAGUACAUGCAGUUCAUGGCAUAUAUGAAAACUCCUCAGUAUAAAGCAAGUCUGCAACAGUUACUGGAGCAGGAAAAGGAAAAGAAUGCUCAGUUGCUGGGGACAGCACAGCAGUUAUUCACCCACUGCCAGGCACAGAAAGAGGAAAUCAAACGUCUUUUUCAGCAGAAACUUGAUGAGUUGGGAGUUAAAGCUCUAACAUACAAUGACCUGAUUCAGGCUCAGAAGGAGAUCUCUGCUCACAAUCAGCAACUGAAAGAACAGACGAAACAGCUGGAGAAGGAUAACAGUGAACUCAGGAACCAGAGCUUACAGCUGCUUAAGGCACGGUGUGAAGAACUGAAGCUGGAUUGGUCAACCUUGUCACUGGAGAACUUGCUGAAAGAGAAGCAGGCAUUGAAGAAUCAGAUUUCUGAGAAACAAAAGCACUGUUUGGAAUUGCAGAUCAGCAUUGUGGAACUUGAGAAGAGUCAAAGACAGCAGGAGCUUAUGCAGCUGAAAUCAUACACGCCGUCUGACGAGUCCCUGUCAGUACAGCUACACAACAAAACCCAUUUGAGCCGUGAUCCUGAGGCUGAUCACGGCAGGUUCCAACUGGAGCUGGAAUGCUCCAAGUUUCCUAUGCCCCACAUCAAUGGCAUGAGCCCUGAACUGUCCAUGAACGGCCAUGCUACUCCCUAUGAAAUUCACAACGCCUUUAGCAGGCCCUCUUCCAAGCAGAACACCCCUCAGUACACAACCUCUCACCUGGACCAAGAAAUAGUUCCAUGUACCCCAAACCACAGCAGCAGACAGAAGGCAGACAAGAUGACAAGCUUGUCCUUACCUGACUAUACCAGGUUUUCCCCAGCUAAAAUAGCACUAAGGAGACACUUGAAUCAAGACCAUGGAGUCAAUGGAAAAGCAACAGCUAAUGAGAUACAGAGAGCUGAUCAUGUCAAAGAGAAUGGCCUUACAUACCCAAGCCCUGGUAUUUCAAAUGGCAUAAAGCUGAGUCCUCAGGAAACUCGGCCCUCUUCCCCAGCGGCCUUACCAGUUGCAGGCGAGAAGGUUUUGAGAGAGAGAACCUCUGUGAGUAAUGGAGAAACUAUCACCAGCCUACCUAUCAGUAUUCCUCUCAGCACAGUGCAGCCCAAUAAACUCCCUGUUAGUAUCCCUCUGGCCAGCGUAGUCCUACCUAGCCGUGUUGAGAAGGUGAGAAGCACACCUAGCCCAGUUCAUCAGAGUAGAGACUCAUCGACACUUGAAAAGCAGAUUGGUGCUAGUUCUCAUAAUGGCGUAAGCAAUGCUGCUGGAAACAAGCCACUGGCUUUGGCUACCUCAGGUUUUUCUUACUCUUCUGGCUCCGUGGCAGUCAAUGGAAAUCUUACAAACAGCCCAGCCCAUCUUAACCAUAGUGUUGAUCAGGCAGCUCUGGACGACUCUGGGAGUCUGUUUAACUCAGUAGGGUCUCGGAGUUCCACUCCACAACAUCCUUUGCUAAUGAUGCAGUCAAGGAACUCUGGGCAAAACUCCCCUGCUCACCAGCACUCAACAAGCCCCAGGUUAAAUGGCACAUCCCAGAGCCUGGUAGGGGUAUUGCAAUAUGCAGAUGCUCAGAAGAUGUUUGCCGAAGGAACAAAGGGGGAUCUUCAGUCUGAUGCAGCGUUUUCAGAUCCUGAGAACGAGGCCAAGAGAAGAAUCAUCUUUACAAUCUCUCCUAAUACAGGACAUGUAAAACAAUCCCCUUCCAACAAGCACAGUCCUCUGCCCAUGAGCGCUCGGCUGGACUGUGGCCAAGCACACGCGCAGGAUGGGAAGAAGCGAGGCCGGCGGAAGAGAUCCUCCACUGGGAAUCUCAGCGGGAACUCCGGGGUCUCCCCUAAACGCAAAUCCUUACCUACUGUGUCUGGACUCUUUACGCAACCGUCGGGUUCACCGCUCAAUAUCAACUCCAUGGUCAAUAACAUUAACCAGCCUUUAGAAAUAACAGCCAUUUCCUCUCCUGAAAACUCCCUGAAGAACUCUCCUGUUCCUUACCAGGACAACGACCAGCCCCCGGUACUGAAAAAGGAAAAGCCCCUGCUUCAGACCAACGGUGUUCAUUACUCCCCUCUAACGUCAGAUGAAGAGCAGGGAUCUGAAGAUGAGCACAACAGCAGCAGAAUUGAGAGGAAAAUUGCAACAAUCUCAUUGGAAAGCAAAUCUCCACAGAAGACUGUUGAAAAUGGUGGCAGCUUAGCUGGGAGGAAACAAGCACAAAGCAACGAGAACAUGAAUAGCAGUAAAUGGAAAUCUACUUUUUCACCAAUAUCUGACAUCAACCUGACCAAAACUACAGAUAGUCCAUUGCAGUCGGUUUCAUCUCUGAGCCAGAAUUCGCUGUUUGCCUUCAGGCCCUCCACUGAGGAUAGCUUUGCCAUGGAUGCCAAGAUCACGGCACACCCCAGGAAAAACAUUGCCAUGCCCUCCUCCGGGGCGGACGGGCUCAGCCCCAGUACAAACUCCACUAAUGGAUUUCCGUACAAUGGUGGACUGUCAAGUGAUAUGGGUUUACACAGCUUUAUCGAUGGUGCUUCUCUUCCACAUAAGGCUUCAGACGUGACGACUUCCAACUGCUCCCUGGGUUUCCAGUCGCAGCGAAGCAAAGAUGUGGGGGUAUCGGAAACGAAUCCUUUCUUGAACAAGAGGCAACUCGAAGGCCUCAACGGCACGAAAGGAGAAGACUUAAAUCGGGCAGGGGUCAAAGGCAAAGAGAUCAGCGAGAUCAGCAUCCGCACUGGGGGUUCUUCAGACAAAAACUCUUUGCAGCAUAACGGAAAGGUUGGCAAAGGACGGGACCGAGAUGUGGAGUUUAAAAACGGCCACAACCUUUUCAUUUCUGCUGCUGUUUCCUCUGGUGGCCUUCUGAAUGGUAAAAGCCUUUCUACUGCUGUUUCUUCAGCAGGCAACCCAGCAUCUUCUGUUCAGACACACCAUCCUUUCCUAAACACUUUGACCACUGGAUCGCAGUUCCCCCUCGGCCCCAUGGCCUUGCAAGCAAACCUCAACUCGGUGACAAAUUCCUCAGUAUUGCAGUCCUUAUUUAAUUCAAUGCCAGCUGCUGCCAGUCUGGUCCACGUGUCAUCAGCUGCAACCAGACUGACUAAUUCUCACACUAUGGGGAACUUCUCUCCUGGGGUUACAGGUGGAACAGUUGGAGGUAGGCAGAACUCUUUCUCUGGUAUAAGACAGGGCCUAAAGGAAAGUCUGACACUGCCUCUCCAGGGGUGAAACCCUUUCAUUUCUGCAGGAUGUGAAGCAGAUCUGUCCCACAUAACCAGUCUCCUCUAUCUCUCGGAAAUGCUAGGAUGAGUUCAGUUCCCCACAGUGAAAUCUCAUGAGCUUUGUCUACUAGAUGAGCUUGUUGUAUCACCUUUAAUGAAACAAUACACCCAGACUUUGUGAUUUCAUAAUGUGUGCUUGUUCAGAUGUUGCUGUGUUGGAACCAGCUUGGGUCCGCCUGCAGGUAAAAGAUUUAACUUGUCCUGGUACCAAGUUGAGGAUCUCUAACUUUGACAACUUGAGUAAAGGUUGAGAUUAGGCCUUGAAUGGAAUUAGCAUGAUCCAGGAAGAGCAAAACAUCAGUGCCUCUUCAGAGGAGAUGGUGUUGGGGAAUUGCGUAGCAUUCUGGCUCUUGAAUGGACAUGAAGAGCAUUUCUUUGCCAGGAAGGGCAAUGCCAUAUGCACCUUGCACUUCUGGGAUUCUGCACAGGCUUGGCUUCUGUGGCCCAAACCGGAGACAAGCUGGCAGGACUAGAAGAUAGUCUGAACCUGCCGUUACUAAGUGUCCAAGGCAGUUUUUCUUACCUGUCCAUAAUCAUUCAGGCACCAUGUCGGGAAAUCCUAACUCUUACAUCUCUCAGCACAUAGAUUUGCUGGAAAUACAAUCUCCCCUCUGCUGCCCUGUAAGUGGGAAAGCAGGAGGGUGGGGAGGGAAGAGCAGCAAUUUGAGUCUCCAGCUAAACAACUCUAAAGACCACGUAAUCUCAUCAAAAGUCUACCCGUGUGGUAUAGAACUGACAGUUCUUGGGUCUGACCAUUUUUCCUCGUGGCAUUUAGAGGUUGGCAGUAGGAAAGGUAACUAGGAUUUCUACCUCAACCCAUUGUGACCUAUGCAAGGACAACGUGGACCAACUUCACUCGGCUUCCACUGAAAGGUGCUCACCUGGCCUGUGCAGGGGUUUCUACUCUCUUACUACUGGACAAAAUAAAAACAUAAAAAGACCUAAACGACAGAGAAAAGAUUUACUGUGAAUCUGAGUUAAAACAAAAAAAAAAAAAAAAGGGAAAAAAAGGAAAAAAAAAAAAAAAGAGCAAAAGAAAUGCUUAAAGCUCCAGUUUGUAUUGUUGAUAGUUUAGAUAAAGUAUUUAUCUUUUUUUUAAAGUGAAAACGAUUUUGACUUAUUUUAUUCCACCUAGAAUCAUAAACACAACUUAUUAUUAAAUUUUCUGAUUAAUAAAGGACUGGCACACCAGCAGAGAUGUAAAGAGCCUCCUCUCGGUGCUAUUUCAUCCGUCAGAACUGUGCCUCUAGUUUGAAUCCUUGGUGCUGAACUUGGAGGGUUGAGCAAUGCCAAACCCAGUUCUCAGAAGGGUCUGCAGUUUAUUUAUUCACCUUGCUCUGUUCAUAUACCAAAAGCCAUUUGGUUUGCAGCAGUAGGAGCUACAGAGAAAGGCAGGCUUCUAAUUAAAGCUUUGUUUUAAUUGGAACUCUUUUAACUGAGGGGAUUUAACUGUGUUCAUUGCCAACCAGAACUCGGAUUCCCCUCUGGGGUGGCAGCUAAGAGUCCCUGGGGUGGCCCAGGCGAGCUCCACCAGCGCAGGCACCUUUGAAAGAAGAAAUUCCAAGUCCUGCCCCAUUCAAACUACUUCACUGGGCCAUUUGCCGUUGCUGGUGGCACUCAAGUCACUGUGAAUUUUGGUAGUUAGUCUGGUACCUUGUUUUGGGAUAUCAUUGGCAUAUGAACAGGGUGUGUGAUCACUGGUAUUGGUCAGGCCCUUGCUACAACGUUGGGAAGACUGAACACAGGGCUUCUGUCCUGGUGCAGGUAGCAGAUUUUCUCAGCUUGCUGGUUUUUGUUCCAAGUAUAAUGUAUUUUGUUAAUAGGGUUUUGAUACUUGAGUCAGAAAUGGAUUAACUGUGUACAUUGAUGGACAAAGUGCAUUUUGCUUUUGUAUUUCCUUGCUUUAAGUAGGUCUAAAUGGUAGUUCACAAAAACACCCUGAUCUCGCCUACGUGCUGCCACACAAUCCGACUGGUGCAGUUCUUGUUUUGUGACUUGGUGUUCUGUGUACAGAAAGGGCUGCUCCGAGCAGCAGCUGUAUUUUAUAGAGAUGUGAUGAGAAAAAUAUAAAUUUCAUAUACUUUUAUUUCAUUUAUUUUUAGAUUGUACAAUGCACAGUAAACUUGUAAAAACUUAUUUAUUCGAGUGCACAAAGGGAGGAGGAGGAUGACCCAUUAAGUAGAGAUCACGCUGGGCUGUGCUUCAGACUGGCCCAGAUACCAGUAAAGGAAACUACAAUCAAAGAAGGGGAAUUGCAACAGCAAAAUGAUGUUUAAGCUUUGGGGAACAUCUGCUUGCCAGCCCUGUGCUCCAAGGGGCAGCACUGACUGCUCUGCAUUGGAGUGCUUGCUGUCCUGGAAUCCCAUCCAGGUUGGUAGUGCUCCCCGUGGAGUCUCCCACCUCCAGCAGUCGGGCAUUCCCCUCGGCCUUGAGCACCCCAUGGUCACAAAGAGCUGGGCUGAACACGUGCAUUAGCUGCUUAACUUCUGCCUCAGGGUUUGAAGUCAGCAUGAGACCUCUGCCCAGUGCGCUCCCUCGUGCGCUCACUCCUGCUCCCUGGCUCCAGGAGGAAUGGCUGUGAGCGCUGUGCUGGUGUGUUCAAGAGUGGUCCUUGAACUCUACCGGCUCCUACAGAUUUCAGUGAGGCCCUUUUCUCUGUACCUCAUCCCUGGCAAUCUUAGUAGAGAUCUAGGACAAAGUGCAGUUAUUCUCUUCAUUCCCAAGCGUGUCUUCCAUAGGCAGCCUUUGUGCGUGGAAACUGUUGAUCUGAGUGUGCCGCCUUACUCGCUGGAAAGGGAAGGGGUUGAUAGCCCUGGAAAUUAGGGACAUUUUGGAAUCGUUUUCUGCUUUGCGUGUGGGAGAGGAUUUGACAGCGGUGCGCCCUGCUGAGUUACUAACAGCAAGAUGGAAACCUGGAAAAGGGCAAAUAUGCUCAGAGGGUGAGAGCUGAGAAACAUCCAGUAGCUUCUAGUAGAAGCCAUACACAGUUUAUGUCCUGGAAUCCAGGAAGACAAUGUAACCCAGAUGUUUUGCAGCUGGGAGUUGGGCAGUUCCAGCUUCUUCCAGCUCCUUGGGUGACUGGAAGUUGCAGAGCUGCCUUAGCAUCCUUCCCAGCAGGCGGCAGAGUGCUCAGUCUCUGAAGGCUUUAACUUGUAGGCUGUACCAGAGCAAUUGCUGGAGGGCGGAAUUGCAGCGGCCUUAAUUCUGUCUCCCCCCUAUCAUUUGUAUCCCUGAUGAGAAAGAUGAGGACAUCCAAGUAGAAGCUUUUAAUCACUGCUUUUAUCAGGUCCUUUUCUGAAAAGGGACCAAGAUUCGGUGUUCGUUGGACCUUUCACGUUCCCCUUCAUCCCAAACCACAAAAGACAUCCAGGAAGAGAACUCAUCCAUUGUCACUUGUUCUGUAUGGGGAGGGUUCACUUGUGCUCAUAGCCAAGGUGUGCGCAGGACAGCAGCAGAUGCCUGUUUGGAGAAGGACCUGACGCAAGGGCUCCGUUGAACCCGCUGUGCUCUCCAACGCCUGCUCAAUGCCUGUAUCAGCCAGCGCUCCUCAGCUGGAGAGGAGGGCCAGCUCCUUGUGAUGGGAAUCACUUGCUUUGCCCUGAGCUUCACAGCAAUUCAGCAAUCAGUGUCUGGGGAGCAAGAUGGAACUGUCAGUCAUAGUUUGGUGGUGGACUUGGCAUCUGCCUCGUCAUCACCUCAGUGCUGCCAUUCCCAUGACAUAAGGGGUAGAUUGAGAUGAGCUCUGAGGCAGAAGCUCUUCCCUGUGAGGGUGCUGAGGCGCUGGCACAGGGUGCCCAGAGAAGCUGUGGCUGCCCCAUCCCUGGCAGUGUUCAAAGCCAGGCUGGACACAGGGGCUUGGAGCAACCUGCUCUAGUGGAAGGUGUCCCUGCCUGUGGCAGGGGGUUGGAGCUGGAUGAGCUUUAAAGUCUAUUCCAACCCAAACCAGUCUGGGAUUUCAUGACCUGAUGUUUCCGUCUUGGCAGCCCACACUGCAGGAGUCUGGAGCUGCUCUGGCCAUGCCGGUGUCUUCCACCCAUGCCUGGCACUGUUGAUACCUUCCCCUUGUGAUGCACUGUGUAAUUGCAUUGUGUGGCAGCUACAAUCUAAAUCCUUGUAGUAAUUCCUCACUGGGGUGUGCUUCCAGGAAGGUGCCUGAUGAGGUAACGCUUGUGGGGAGCAGGGCUGAGAUGGGAACCAGGAGAGUGCAGGUUCUGGGACUGGUGUCUUAGUGUUGUAUUAUCUGAGAGAUGUUGCCAAGAGAUUUGCAUUGUCGUCUUCCCCACUCCCUGAUCUUCUCUCGCUUUGCCAUAAUCUUGGCCAAAUUCAACUUGUUUCUUCUCUGUUUGCAAAAGGGGAGAGCAUUUACCUUGCUGUGGGGCUGCUGAAGGAAUAGCUUUGAGCUGUUAAGAUCUCAUCCAGAUGGCUACAAGAAUAAGACCCUCAUGACCCUGCUGUAGGAGUGCUGUGCCAGAGGUCUGGAACCUGUUUUCAGUAACUGGAGAUGCUUGUGAGUAGUCAAAGCCAAACAGCCAGUUCCAAAAAGGAAUUCAUUCUGUGUUACCACAUCCUGCUGGGUCCAGUCGUUCCAUGGCUGUCACACAUGUUCCUUCUCCUCUGUGCUGCUGCUGCUGCCAGGGACUUGUCAGGAAGCUCAAAUACAUCUUGGAGCACUUGCAUUGCCAAAAGGAAAGAAGGAACUUCCUGAGUGUUGUGGUGAGCAAAACCUGUGCCCGCUGCUGACUGUCAGGAACCAGCCCUGCUCUCAUCUGGGGAUUUGCUGCCUCUGGCUUGUACUCACCCGGCUCAGUCCACCAAGACCCACCAGGCUCGGAGGCUCCAGAUCUCAACGUGUUCUUUGCUGUGGAUUCAUCACUCAGCAGCGAUUCCUCCAUUAGCCAGGGGAUGAGGGGCACCAGCAGUCUCAUUGCUCUGCUUUUCAUGUAGAUGAAGGAGAAGGUGGGAAGAUGUUGCUGGAGGACUUAGAGGCUGGGGCUGUUGAGACCGCGGUGGUGUGCAGGAGGAUGGUGACAUCGAGCUGUCUCUGCAUCGUCUCUUGGUUUGGUGCAAGUGAGGCUGUUUCCUUUAGGAAGGUGUGGAUCAGUCUAGACAACCAUAUUGAUCGGAAGCAUCUUCACCUCUUAGUUCAGAUUGAGGAUGCAAUGGGAAAGGUGAAGGGGAAAGUGCCAACAUCAGGGAAUGCAGCACAUCCUGGAUGUACAUGGCACCAUCCCCAACUAGUUUCUCCCAAUAGCAGGGACUCAUGUCUCCUUGACCAGAGAAACAGAGAAAUACUUUCUUGUGCUUCCACCUCAUUUCCUUCCUUCCUAAUGGCAACAGCCACUUUACCUUCUAGUGCCUGGUUUGUGCUCACCCUGCCGCUGGCUGGGGUUGGGGUGAAGCUGAAUUCCCCUGUCCCAGGACUGGCUGGUGGGGUGUGCAUGUGGGGAUGAAGGUCAGCUUGUAGGGACUGAACUUGUGGUUGCACCUACAGUCGCUGAAGCACCCAGGCAGGGAGGUUGCAUCACUUGAACGUGAAGGGAGCCAGCGGUCACUGGUUUUGUGAGUCAAGAGCUUUCAAAUCCCCAGGGCUUGACACUCCUCAGUCUGAAGCUCACCCAGCCCAGUUACUUAAUCUCGGUGUUGAGUAGCUUUCUUCUUUCUUUAGUCCAGCUUAAUACUUGAGCAAGUAACUUCUCUAUUUGAAAUCUGCUGAGCAAAGAGGUUUCAGGCUUGGUGAGCUCUUCCCUUGCAUCUGAAUCACAUUUCAAAAUGCUUCAGUAUCACUUGGCCGUCGGGGCCGCUGUGUGUAGGUGCCUUCGCCCCGCUGUGGGCAAGAGGUUCCUUCUGAGAGGUUUGGUGACACUUCUUCAUCCUCCUUCUUCAGGGGUUGGGUGAGGUGACCUUUAAAGGUCCCUUCCAACCCAAACUACUCUCUGAUUCUCUGUAGAGAUGUAUGUGGAAUGCUCGAUGGAGUCUGAGGGCUAUGGACAGGCAGCUCAGGCUCACCUCCAGGGACCUGUGUGGUUUGAUUCUGCGAGGAUUGUGGAUUUAGAAAGCAGCAUCUGCUCCCCUGACCUGUUAUGUUUUCUACUUGGAAGAGUGUCCCAGCAGAGGAGAGCCUGCAGGGCUGCAUGGCAGGGGGAGCAUCCGUGGGUGCGGAGGUGGCAUCUGCCGUGGGGUAGGUGAUGGUUUUGGUGGGACACCGUGGCUGUGCAGUUCAUCUCCUCCGAGGCUCUCCAGAGCGCCCACUCUUUGUGACCCUGUGGGGAUAUUGGCACGAGGCCCUGCAGGACCUGCGCCCUCACUCAGCCGGCGGCUCCCUGCCCCGCUCCAGGAGCUGCUGGAAGAGGAGACUCCAGCGCCAGGAGCUUGUUCUUGGGCUGCUGAUUGUGACUCCCCUCCAGACUCAGCCCCCUCCAUGGUCCUUCCUUCCUCGGCCGGUCUGGAGCUGGUGCUGAUCACCUUCAGGCACAGUAACAAAGAUGCUUCCCCAGCCCAGGGUCCCUUUCCCUUGCUGCGGCAGAAGAUGCUCCUUAGGACUGAUGUGAUGUGAUGUGAGGAGGCUUUGGUGGAUCGAGUCCUAGGUACAGCCCCUUUCUGUAUUGAAUUCAGUCUUUCAAUACAGGGUAUGGAAACCUGAACAUUAUGGUUGUGUUUAUUUCUUGGAGAGAGUUAUCCCAACUCACCCAGCUCUUGACAAAUUCUGCUUUCCUUGUUUUGCCUGAGCCAAAAGCAUAAAGAGGAUUAAGCGGUGGGAGCUCCAAAUAAUGAUUCCUUUGGGUAAGGUGUGGAUGUUGUGCAGUGGACUGCAAACCAGCAAGAAUGUGUUUUAAAAUCAAUCACAGUUUGGGGAGAAGAAAAACUGUUCAGUGUUUUAGUGUUUUUGUGAACUAUCCUUGCAGCACUGAGGAGACAUCACAGGAAUGGGUUGGGAAGCUCAGCUCUGCGCUCCCUGUGUGAGUUUUUCACCUUUUACGGCUGUUACAGAGGUUUUUCCUCCUUUUUUUUUGCUCCAACAUUUCCAUAGCUUGCAUGUCAGGUUUUCACUGGAAGAUGGAUUACCAGUUUUAAAGGUGGUGUUGUGCCAUGUUUUAUUUAUCCUUAUGCAUUAUAAAUAUAUAAAUAUCUAUUUAGACUGAGUAUUGCAAGAAAAGAUGCCGUUACUGGGAACUUCAGGGUUUAAACCCAGGACAAAAGAAAGGGAAACACUUCUCCAGUGUAUUUGCUGUUUGUGACCCUGUUUCUGAAGAGGUUUCUGAAGUUUUUCUUGUUCAAAAACAAAAUCACAUCUUAAAAUGCUGAGUUUUUGUGAUGUGAAUCCUGAAGUUCUCAUGUUUGCGACCCCUUGGUUUGCUCAAGGUACACCCGGUCACGUUUCUGGUGCCGUCACAUCACUUUGGAAGGUUUUGUUUCUGGAGCUGAGGAGGAGGAGGCGGAAGGGGCUGAUCCAUCCUGCUUGGCUUUUGUAACCUGUUAAUGUUUUGCAGCGAUCAGUCUCAAAUGAAAUCCCAACUUUUUAGGUCUCUGUUCUACUUCGAGGUUUCAGGAGGGAGAGCCUGCCCCCGCCGAGUGGGCCCUGGAUAGAGAAAGCAGUAGAUGAGGAGGUUGCUGUUGCUCAGGAAUUGAUUAGUAAACUUUUAACUACUAAUAAAAAUCCAUUUUUCAGUGGAUUUUUUAAAAAACCCCAUUUUCUUAGGGCAGUGAUAUGGGAUGUUUCCUAGUGAAUAGGAAUUAGUUUAUAUAAUUUUAGCCUAUUAAAUUGAAUUAUUUAAAAUUCAAACUUCCCCUAAUUUAUCUUUUUUUUUUUUGGUUGUUGUUGUUGGAUUUUUGUUUUAUACUGGUAAGUUGUCCUGUCAUUCCUUUCAUUCUUCCAUAGAAGUAGAGUGAAUUCUUCUGCUGUGUAUAUAUGUAUGUAUAAUAUAUAUAUUUCCACCCUGCCUUUCUAAUUCUCCCCAAUGUAAGAGUUAGGGGUUUUUCUUUUCUCCCCUCCCUCCACUUAAUUUCUUGUGUCUUUACCUUGAUUUGUAAUUGAAACAAUGCUUUGAAGUUUGGUCUUUAUAUUAAAGUGUCUGUAUUUUAA
Strigops habroptila (Kakapo) is the source of this 14359-nucleotide RNA transcript. It is a transcript of the gene named DOT1 like histone lysine methyltransferase, with no coding region annotated. NCBI's taxonomy places the organism in Eukaryota, Metazoa, Chordata, Aves, Psittaciformes, Psittacidae. The record is from RefSeq and is a predicted model, not a curated record. The transcript is spliced from 28 exons.